Molecule: ribosomal RNA, 495 nt
Filed under: uncultured eukaryote
Lineage: Eukaryota
Description: bacterial SSU rRNA
Rfam family: Bacterial small subunit ribosomal RNA
Source: RNAcentral
AGAUAUCAAAGGUAGUCUGGCGUAGCGAUACCGCGUGAGCGAAGAAGCCCUUUGGGGUGUAAAGCUCUGUCAGCUGGAACGAACACAAUGACGGUACCAGCAGAGGAAGCAUCGGCUAACUACGUGCCAGCAGCCGCGGUAAGACGUAGGAUGCAAGCGUUGUCCGGAUUUAUUGGGCGUAAAGAGUUCGUAGGCGGUUAGUUAAGUCUGGUGUUAAAUCCCGUGGCCCAACCACGGACCUGCAUUGGAUACUGGCUAACUUGAGUGCGGUAGAGGUAAGUGGAAUUCCCAGUGUAGCGGUGAAAUGCAUAGAUAUUGGGAAGAACACCGGUGGCGUAGGCGACUUACUGGGCCGUAACUGACGCUGAGGAACGAAAGCCAGGGGAGCGAAUGGGAUUAGAUACCCCAGUAGUAAAGAUAUAUAUGCAGCUCAGUCCAAAAGGGGGGGCAUAUACUCCUGGUGUUUUACGACCCGUCAAUUAAAGUGGGGGCUGC